CCACAGCUCACGGCAACACCAGAUCCUUAACCCACAGAUCAAGGCCAGAGAUUGAACCCAAAACCUCAUGGUUGCUUGUCGGAUUCAUUUCUGCUGCACCACAGCGGGAACUUCUAAACUGCUUUAAAAAACACAGUGUUUUGGACCCAGUAUAACAGCCAUCAGCCACACAUGAUAAUUUAAAUUUAACGUAAAAUCAAAAUUAAAAGUUGGUUCUUCAAGAAUCCUGCUGUGGUGCAACGGGAUCAGCAGCAUCUUUGGAGCAUUGGGAUGCAGUUCCAGUCCUCAUUCCGGCACAGUGGGUUAAGGAUCUGGCAUUACCACAGUUACGGCUUCGGUCAGCGCUGGCUCAGAUCUGUUCCCUGGCUCCAGGAACUCCAUAUGCUGUAGGGCAGCCAAAAAGGAAGGAAAAAAAAAGUUCUUCAUCACACUAAUUAACCCAAAUCUAGAAUGUAAACCCUUCAUUUCCAGGUGAAGAAGUCAGGCCUCCUAAUAUGUUCAGUUCAAUAUUCCUGUCUACUCCUCCCCCCAAUCACCACCAGGUUAUUUUCAGUAUUUGCAACAGUGUCUUCUUUAAUGGCAGAAGCCACUACAUACAAAUUACCUCUCAUUCGCUUGUCUGGCAGUUAAUGCUAACUGUAAGCUGGGAUCACUGCUAAGACUACUGGCCAAAUACUUGCACAAAGCCUCUCCAUAUAAGCCUUGAAUUCCUUAUGGUGUGGCUAGAUUGCAAGAGCAGGUGUCAUCAAAGAGAGGCCCAAGUAGAAAUUGUGCCGUCUUUUCUAACCUAGCCUCAGAAGUUGAAGUCGUACAUCAGCACUCUCUCAUCUUCUGUUUGUUAGAAGUGAGUCACUAAAGACCCGUAUUCAAGGGAAGAGGAAAAGUGUCAAAGGAUUUGGAAAUACGUUUAAGCCACCACAAUAUGUCACAAAUUACUCACAUUCCUACCACUUACAAAACACCUUCAUCAUUCCCCAGACCUUCCCAAAGACUCUCAUCUCACUGCAACAUCAGGAUCAGGUUCAGGGUCAGGAUUUCAUCAUCUAAGCCAGAUCCAGAGGCAGAUGAGAUUCCUUGGAUGUGGUUCCUUUAAUACAUCUCCUUGAGGACAGUCCUUAAUCUGAAGACCUGUGGACUGAAAAGGAAAGUGAACUUCUACUGCUUCCAUCAACAUAUAAUGAUGGGGCAGGAUAACUGCUAUGGACCCUCCUGUUUAAAAAGAAAGUGAAAAUGGAAGGCACACAAAAGUUACUGCUCCAUGGCCAUUUUGAAAUACAGCAGGGCACAUGUUGCUGUUUCCUUGAUUAGAGCUUAGUCCUACUACCUAGGAACGAUUCUCCAGUUGUUGGCUUUUCAGGCUUUGUUUUGUUUUGCAUUUUCUUGAAUAUAAGCGUAAUCCUUCCUUGCACAUAAGAAAUGGUUGGUGAUGCAGCUGUGUAGAUUCCUUGGCCUGCUUCCUGCUCUUAUUAAGGGAUCCAAACAUUUUCUUUCACAUUGUAAUAUCUCUGUAUCUUUCAAUUCAAGUCAACAGUGUUUCUGUUAGUACAAUUUUCUUAAAAGUUUUGUGGGUUUCCUAUGAAUCGAUUGAGAGUCAAUCCAUUAUACGAAAGCAGCUUUCACAAAUCUUAUCAUGAUAAACCAUUCUCUAUCUUGGCCUUCUUUUAAGUCUCCUAUGGAACAAUGACUGUGAGAUCCUUAAAAGACCUCUUGUUCAAUGGAGAGAGUCUGAGGCACAACCUCACUAUCUUUUGAAGGACUUUUGUCUGUUUGAAACAUCAUCUUAACCUUUUCUGUGAUUUUACCCAAAGUCGUAUAAUUGUAUUCUAGGCUGUAUGUUUACAUGAUAUUUUCCUGAUGGUACCCUGGAUUUGAACUCUGCCUAGAAGCCAUUUCUUAAUUUUAGCAGUAUUCGCCACCUGGAAAAAAUCUGGAAAUGGGAAAGAUUUAUUUUCCAAACAACAAGCCCUUGUUGUUUUAUAGUUAAAAUCAUUCUUUAGCUUUUUCCUUUCUUCUUGCAUUUUACUAGAAGCAGCCAAAGGAACCCAAGCAGCAACAAGCACAGUUUUCCUUGAAGCCUUCUCAGCUAGGACAUCCAGUUCAUUAUGUAUAUUUCCUGGUUUUUAUGUUUCUGAGAGUCAACUUUCACCACUAUUUAACAGGUGUACCUUUUUCUUUAGUUUCCAGUAAGAUCUUUUCACACUCCUUCAAAUCCAAACUACAGCAUCCUAGAGGUUUCCACUAGGAGCAUCUUUGAAGUCAUUUUGUCUUAACAUUCCCCUUCUAGCUUACACUCAAAGCCACUACCUAUAAUUUAGAUUUUUGGUUGCAGCAACACACCUCUUUUAGGUACCUGAAUGUAUUCCACAUAUCUCUGCUUAUGUAGCAAACCACUGCAAAACUUAAUGGUUUAAAACAAGAACAUCGAUUAUGUAACUUAAUGACAAAAACAAACAACCUGGUUAAAGAUGGGCAAAGAACCUGAAUAUAUGUUUUGCUAAAGAAUACGUGCAAAUGGCCAAAAUGUACAUGAAAAAGUGCUCAACAUCCUUAAUUGUCAGGAAAACGCAAGUAAAAACUACAAUUAAAUAUCGCUUCCCAUCUGCUAGGAUGGCUGUUGCCAAGAAGACAACAAGUAACAAGUGGUAAGGAUGUAAAGAAAAGAGAACACCUGUACACUGUGGGUGAGAACAUACAUUGGUACAGCCAUUAUGGAAAACAGUAUAAAGGUUCCUUUAAACAAUAAAAAUAAAAAAACUACCAUAUGAUUCAGCAGUCCUUCUUCAGGGCAGUAUAUCAAAAGGAGACCGAAUCAGUAUCAUAAAGAGGUCUCUGCACUCCUGUGUCCAUCCCAGCAUUAUUCACAAUAACCAAGAUAUGGAACAAUAUAAAUGUUCACUGAUGGAUUCAUGGAUAAAGAAAUUGUGAUAAGAGGUGUUGUGAUAGAGAAAUGUUGCCAUUUUCAACAAGCUGGAUAAAAUGAGAAUAUUCUACUAAGCGAAAUAAGUCAGAUACAGAAAAAAAUACCACAUGAUCUCACUUACAUGUGGAACCUAGAAAAGUUUAAUUCAUGGAAGUAGAGCAUAGAUUAAUGGUAGGGGUGGGGGAAAUGGGGGGUGUUGGUCAAAGAGUACAAAGUGGCAGUGAUGCAGGAUGAGCAGGAAUGGGGAGCUAAUGUACCAUGUGAUGACUAGUUACUACUGUAUUGGAUACUGUAAAUUUGCUAUGAUGAUAGAUUUCAGGUGCUCUGACCCCCUCAACCCCACAAAAGUAACUGUAUUGAGAUGGAUAUGUUAAUGCACUUGACUGUAGGAAUCAUUUCCCUGUGUGUGUGUAUUUCAGAACACCAAGUUGUACACUUUAAACGUCUGUCAUUUUUAUUAAAUAAAUAAAUAAUGAAACAAA
RNAcentral lists this long non-coding RNA (3402 nucleotides) under Sus scrofa (pig). RNAcentral describes it as "lncRNA (ENSSSCG00015052914.1)". The record is from RNAcentral. Lineage: Eukaryota; Metazoa; Chordata; Mammalia; Artiodactyla; Suidae.